RNAcentral lists this ribosomal RNA (576 nucleotides) under Streptomyces xiamenensis. RNAcentral's name for it is "bacterial SSU rRNA". It matches the Rfam family "Bacterial small subunit ribosomal RNA", at positions 245 to 833 of the family's 1533-position model. Lineage: Bacteria; Bacillati; Actinomycetota; Actinomycetes; Kitasatosporales; Streptomycetaceae. The record is from RNAcentral.
CUUGUUGGUGGGGUAGUGGCCUACCAAGACGACGACGGGUAGCCGGCCUGAGAGGGUGACCGGCCACACUGGGACUGAGACACGGCCCAGACUCCUACGGGAGGCAGCAGUGGGGAAUAUUGCACAAUGGGCGAAAGCCUGAUGCAGCGACGCCGCGUGAGGGAUGACGGCCUUCGGGUUGUAAACCUCUUUCAGCAGGGAAGAAGCGAAAGUGACGGUACCUGCAGAAGAAGCACCGGCUAACUACGUGCCAGCAGCCGCGGUAAUACGUAGGGUGCAAGCGUUGUCCGGAAUUAUUGGGCGUAAAGAGCUCGUAGGCGGCCUGUCGCGUCGAUUGUGAAAGCCCAGGGCUUAACCCUGGGUCUGCAGUCGAUACGGGCAGGCUAGAGUUCGGUAGGGGAGAUCGGAAUUCCUGGUGUAGCGGUGAAAUGCGCAGAUAUCAGGAGGAACACCGGUGGCGAAGGCGGAUCUCUGGGCCGUAACUGACGCUGAGGAGCGAAAGCGUGGGGAGCGAACAGGAUUAGAUACCCUGGUAGUCCACGCCGUAAACGGUGGGCACUAGGUGUGGGCAACAUG